RNAcentral lists this ribosomal RNA (468 nucleotides) under uncultured bacterium. RNAcentral describes it as "partial 16S ribosomal RNA". It matches the Rfam family "Bacterial small subunit ribosomal RNA", at positions 28 to 507 of the family's 1533-position model. The record is from RNAcentral.
GACGAACGCUGGCGGCGUGCUUAACACAUGCAAGUCGAACGGAAAGGCCCUGCUUUUGUGGGGUGCUCGAGUGGCGAACGGGUGAGUAACACGUGAGUAACCUGCCCUUGACUUUGGGAUAACUUCAGGAAACUGGGGCUAAUACCGGAUAGGAGCUCCUGCUGCAUGGUGGGGGUUGGAAAGUUUCGGCGGUUGGGGAUGGACUCGCGGCUUAUCAGCUUGUUGGUGGGGUAGUGGCUUACCAAGGCUUUGACGGGUAGCCGGCCUGGGAGGGGGGCCGGCCACAUUGGGACUGAGAUGCGGCCCAGACUCCUACGGGAGGCAGCAGUGGGGAAUAUUGCACAAUGGGCGGAGGCCUGAUGCAGCAACGCCGCGUGCGGGAUGACGGCCUUCGGGUUGUAAACCGCUUUCGCCUGUGACGAAGCGUGAGUGACGGUAAUGGGUAAAGAAGCACCGGCUAACUACGUG